Molecule: ribosomal RNA, 146 nt
Filed under: Phlebia acerina
Lineage: Eukaryota; Fungi; Basidiomycota; Agaricomycetes; Polyporales; Meruliaceae
Description: partial 25S ribosomal RNA
Rfam family: Eukaryotic large subunit ribosomal RNA
Source: RNAcentral
GACCUCAAAUCAGGUAGGACUACCCCGCUGAACUUAAGCAUAUCAAUAAGCGGAGGAAAAGAAACUAACAAGGAUUCCCCUAGUAACUGCGAGUGAAGCGGGAAAAGCUCAAAUUUAAAAUCUGGCGGUCUUCGGAUCCGUCCGAG